This 492-nucleotide ribosomal RNA is filed under the name uncultured bacterium. RNAcentral's name for it is "partial 16S ribosomal RNA". It matches the Rfam family "Bacterial small subunit ribosomal RNA", at positions 29 to 507 of the family's 1533-position model. The record is from RNAcentral.
AGUGAACGCUGGCGGUAGGCCUAACACAUGCAAGUCGAACGGCAGCACAGUAAGAGCUUGCUCUUACGGGUGGCGAGUGGCGGACGGGUGAGGAAUACAUCGGAAUCUACUUUUUCGUGGGGGAUAACGUAGGGAAACUUACGCUAAUACCGCAUACGACCUACGGGUGAAAUCAGGGGAGCUUCGGACCUUGCGCGACUGAAUGAGCCGAUGUCGGAUUAGCUAGUUGGCGGGGUAAAGGCCCACCAAGGCGACGAUACGUAGCUGGUCUGAGAGGAUGAUCGGCCACACUGGAACUGAGACACGGUCCAGACUCCUACGGGAGGCAGCAGUGGGGAAUAUUGGACAAUGGGCGCAAGCCUGAUCCAGCCAUACCGCGUGGGUGAAGAAGGCCUUCGGGUUGUAAAGCCCUUUUGUUGGGAAAGAAAAGCAGCAGGUUAAUACCCCGCUGUUCUGACGGUACCCAAAGAAUAAGCACCGGCUAACUUCGUG